Molecule: ribosomal RNA, 497 nt
Filed under: uncultured bacterium
Lineage: Bacteria
Description: partial 16S ribosomal RNA
Rfam family: Bacterial small subunit ribosomal RNA
Source: RNAcentral
GAUGAACGCUGGCGGCGUGCCUAAUACAUGCAAGUCGAGCGAACAGACGAGGAGCUUGCUCCUCUGACGUUAGCGGCGGACGGGUGAGUAACACGUGGAUAACCUACCUAUAAGACUGGGAUAACUUCGGGAAACCGGAGCUAAUACCGGAUAAUAUAUUGAACCGCAUGGUUCAAUAGUGAAAGACGGUUUUGCUGUCACUUAUAGAUGGAUCCGCGCCGCAUUAGCUAGUUGGUAAGGUAACGGCUUACCAAGGCAACGAUGCGUAGCCGACCUGAGAGGGUGAUCGGCCACACUGGAACUGAGACACGGUCCAGACUCCUACGGGAGGCAGCAGUAGGGAAUCUUCCGCAAUGGGCGAAAGCCUGACGGAGCAACGCCGCGCGAGUGACGAAGGUCUUCGGAUCGUAAAACUCGGUUAUUAGGGAAGAACAAAUGUGUAAGUAACUAUGCACGUCUUGACGGUACCUAAUAAGAAAGCCACGGCUAACUACGUG